Non-coding RNA from Zea mays, 74 nucleotides. The record is from Rfam. NCBI's taxonomy places the organism in Eukaryota, Viridiplantae, Streptophyta, Magnoliopsida, Poales, Poaceae.
GGCCUAUUAGCUCAGUUGGUUAGAGCGUCGUGCUAAUAACACGAAGGUCGCUGGUUCGAGACCUGCAUGGGCCA